AGAAAGAGCGUGGAUACAUAGAAGUCUCUAAGUUCGCAUUUGUAUUUCCUUCUGUCGCGUAUACUUCCUUUAGAAUUAAGUAAUUUCUCAAAUUUUCAUUUAACUUUAAUUUAAUUUUUAUUUUACUUUUACUUUUACGUUCGACUCGUCAGACACAUUCGCAAAUCCGUUAUAUUUAACAAAUAAAUAAAUAUUAGAUUUAUAUGACAUAAAUCCUAAAAUUAGGAGCUUGCUUCUUGCCGACUACACCAUGGUCAGCACCCAAGCGGUCCGUAAGGUGGCGACGUCUGGCCAAGAAGACGCGAUCUAUAUUACCAUGCGCGUCACACAAGACCAACGCGUGCGCAAUAGAUUCGAUAUCUCGCAUGAUAGAUCUAAGAUCGUACGCAACAUGGCGCCGGCUGCCAGUCAUAGUACCCGUCGUUAUUAUGUAAUAAAUGUAAUAAAGUACCAAAAUCGCAAGGUGGUCGAGCAAGAUGCGCAAGUGUAAACCAUGUCACGCUAGCGAGUACCAUUCAUUAUCCUAACAUCAUGCGUGUUAUAUCCAGAAAAACGUGCAGUGAUAUAAUUUAUACCUUAGCUUGCCACGUGAUUCUAACUAACAACCUCGAUUGAAUUUAUGUGCAAGUGCAAGUGCAAGUGCAUUUUACGCAGUUUAUCAAUAACUAGCCACUAUCUCUACUCGAUUAACUCUGUCAGUGCUAUACAACUCUCAUGCUGCAAUGCAGUGAUCACCCAAUCCCUAUAAUAAUAUCAAUCAUUAUUUACAUCUACAAAUGUAAAGCCAUCGUAGUAGAAUACCCAUCCACUAACGCGCCAUAGAGUGUUAUCAUCGGUUUCAUUCGUGUUUUAUAGACUAAUAACUCAUUCGUUAGUUAUUUAAUUAUUAAAUUUACAUUAUCAACUGAAUUUCAGCCACUGUCUAGUAAAUACUGCUCGCAAACGAUGUAUCAUUUCUUAAAUCAAAUAUAAGAAUUGCUUAUUUUAUAAAUUAUGUUGUGUAUGUAAAUACAGCCCACUCAAACAUUAUAUCGACCGCGUGACAUUGAUUGUCAACAAGUCCUAUAAACUAAGAUCUUUCAAAUUUCUUUUGCUUCUGAUAGACACAACCACCCGCUAGCCGAUCAAUCAUUUUGCUAUGUUUGGCUUGUCCUUUGUUAUUAUACAAUUACUGUCAUUUUUCAGGACUGACCUCCUCUCUCGUACUGACUGGACACUAUGCUAUAUUUAAUCAAAACUCAUAAUUGUAGCAAUAAAAUACUUCCUAUCAGUACAAUAUAUAAUCUAAAAUUUAAACAUCCUGUUUUAGGGCGACAUAUCCAGUGAAUUAACGGCGCCUGAAUACUUACAUCUCAUUAAAAUUAACGGGUCCAGACCACCGACCUUGGUCAGGACUAUCCUGAUUUACCUUGAUCAUGGCCAUAACCAACAUAGUAUUAACAACAAUAAAACCUAAAAUUAAUAAUUUGGCUCUAACGAUUGCCGCUAUAAUACGACUGAUCUGCAUAUAUAUUCAAUAAUUUAUAAUAAAUAACUUGUUUAUAAAUACACCUUAUUAUAUUUA
Long non-coding RNA from Bombus huntii, 1564 nucleotides. RefSeq lists it as uncharacterized. NCBI's taxonomy places the organism in Eukaryota, Metazoa, Arthropoda, Insecta, Hymenoptera, Apidae. The transcript has 2 exons. The record is from RefSeq and is a predicted model, not a curated record.